RNAcentral lists this ribosomal RNA (460 nucleotides) under uncultured bacterium. Its description in RNAcentral is "partial 16S ribosomal RNA". It matches the Rfam family "Bacterial small subunit ribosomal RNA", at positions 338 to 795 of the family's 1533-position model. The record is from RNAcentral.
CCUACGGGAGGCUGCAGUGAGGGAUAUUGGUCAAUGGGCGUAAGCCUGAACCAGCCAAGUCGCGUGAGGGAUGAAGGUUCUAUGGAUCGUAAACCUCUGUUAUAAGGGAAUAAAGUGCGGGACGUGUCCCGUUUUGUAUGUACCUUAUGAAUAAGGAUCGGCUAACUCCGUGCCAGCAGCCGCGGUAAUACGGAGGAUCCGAGCGUUAUCCGGAUUUAGUGGGUUUAAAGGGUGCGUAGGCGGCCUUUUAAGUCAGCGGUGAAAGUCUGUGGCUCAACCCUAGAAUUGCCGUUGAAACUGGGAGGCUUGAGUAUGUUUGAGGCAGGCGGAAUGCGUGGUGUAGCGGUGAAAUGCUUAGAUAUCACGCAGAACCCCGAUUGCGAAGGCAGCCUGCUAAGCCAUGACUGACGCUGAUGCACGAAAGCGUGGGGAUCAAACAGGAUUAGAUACCCGUGUAGUC